Molecule: ribosomal RNA, 462 nt
Filed under: uncultured bacterium
Lineage: Bacteria
Description: bacterial SSU rRNA
Rfam family: Bacterial small subunit ribosomal RNA
Source: RNAcentral
GGUCCUACGGGUGGCUGCAGUGGGGAAUAUUGCACAAUGGGCGAAAGCCUGAUGCAGCGACGCCGCGUGGGGGAUGACGGCCUUCGGGUUGUAAACCUCUUUCACCAUCGACGAAGGUUCGGGUUUUCUCGGAUUGACGGUAGGUGGAGAAGAAGCACCGGCCAACUACGUGCCAGCAGCCGCGGUAAUACGUAGGGUGCGAGCGUUGUCCGGAAUUACUGGGCGUAAAGAGCUCGUAGGUGGUUUGUCGCGUUGUUCGUGAAAUCUCACGGCUUAACUGUGAGCGUGCGGGCGAUACGGGCAGACUUGAGUACUGCAGGGGAGACUGGAAUUCCUGGUGUAGCGGUGGAAUGCGCAGAUAUCAGGAGGAACACCGGUGGCGAAGGCGGGUCUCUGGGCAGUAACUGACGCUGAGGAGCGAAAGCGUGGGGAGCGAACAGGAUUAGAUACCCGGGUAGUCAG